GACCCCGCACAAGCGGCGGAGCAUGCGGCUUAAUUCGAUGAUACCCGUAGAACCUUACCAGGUCUUGACAUCCCUUGCAAUGCUGUAGAGAUACAGUGGAGGUUAUCAAGGAGACAGGUGGUGCAUGGUUGUCGUCAGCUCGUGUCGUGAGAUGUUGGGUUAAGUCCCGCAACGAGCGCAACCCUUAUUGCUAGUUGCCAUCAUUUAGUUGGGGACUCUAGCGAGACUGCCAGUGAUAAACUGGAGGAAGGUGGGGAUGACGUCAAAUCAUCAUGCCCCUUAUGACCUGGGCUACAAACGUGAUACAAUGGCUAUUACAGAGGGCCGCAAAGCUGUGAAGUGAAGCUAAAACCCUUAAAAAUAGUCUCAGUUCGGAUUGAAGUCUGCAACUCGACUUCAUGAAGCCGGAAUCGCUAGUAAUCG
This 423-nucleotide ribosomal RNA is filed under the name uncultured bacterium. RNAcentral's name for it is "bacterial SSU rRNA". It matches the Rfam family "Bacterial small subunit ribosomal RNA", at positions 920 to 1344 of the family's 1533-position model. The record is from RNAcentral.